RNAcentral lists this non-coding RNA (102 nucleotides) under Pontibacillus halophilus. Its description in RNAcentral is "Guanine sequence". It matches the Rfam family "Purine riboswitch aptamer". From Rfam's summary of the family: Riboswitches are metabolite binding domains within certain messenger RNAs that serve as precision sensors for their corresponding targets. Allosteric rearrangement of mRNA structure is mediated by ligand binding, and this results in modulation of gene expression. Lineage: Bacteria; Bacillati; Bacillota; Bacilli; Caryophanales; Bacillaceae. The record is from RNAcentral. RNAcentral also lists the same sequence under 1 other name.
CACACACAUAUAUAUUUUCCUUGUAUAAGUUUGAGAAUACGGCUCAAACGUCUCUACUAAGCUACCGUAAAUGGCUUAUCUACAAGGGAUAUUCGUAUAGAA